AUGGCACGUUACAGGAGGCAGCAAGGCAUGUCCGACUUGGUGUGCAACAACAAAAAAAGGAGUCCGGGCGUCCGGGUGGUCUUGUCCACGACAGAGGCAGCAGGGCCAAAAGGGCAGCCAGGAGACGAGCGCGGGCUUGCUGGUCGGAGCAGAGGCGGCAGGGCGGAGCAGCAGCACAGGACGCGGACAGAGGAGGUGCUGCCGGGCACUUAUGGUGGUGGAGGAGGGGCUCCAUGCGAACAGGGCCGCGGUGGAGGUCGUCGUCGGGCGCGCAAACACGCCGAGCAGGAGCGCCCUCGGGUCGAGCAGAAGAGGGGGCCAGAGCAAGGGAAGAAGGGCAACGCAGAGGAGAGGCAUGGCCUCGCUAGAGCAGCUGGCGACGGCGGGAUAGCCUGGACGAGGCCGGAGUUGGAGAGGAGCUUGGGGGUCGCGACAUGA
This 438-nucleotide ribosomal RNA is filed under the name Triticum aestivum (bread wheat). RNAcentral describes it as "partial small subunit ribosomal RNA". The record is from RNAcentral. Lineage: Eukaryota; Viridiplantae; Streptophyta; Magnoliopsida; Poales; Poaceae.